CGUAGGUGACCUGCGGAAGGAUCAUUACUGAGUGAGGGCCCUCUGGGUCCAACCUCCCACCCGUGUUUAUUUACCUUGUUGCUUCGGCGGGCCCGCCUUAACUGGCCGCCGGGGGGCUUACGCCCCCGGGCCCGCGCCCGCCGAAGACACCCUCGAACUCUGUCUGAAGAUUGUAGUCUGAGUGAAAAUAUAAAUUAUUUAAAACUUUCAACAACGGAUCUCUUGGUUCCGGCAUCGAUGAAGAACGCAGCGAAAUGCGAUACGUAAUGUGAAUUGCAAAUUCAGUGAAUCAUCGAGUCUUUGAACGCACAUUGCGCCCCCUGGUAUUCCGGGGGGCAUGCCUGUCCGAGCGUCAUUGCUGCCCUCAAGCACGGCUUGUGUGUUGGGCCCCGUCCUCCGAUUCCGGGGGACGGGCCCGAAAGGCAGCGGCGGCACCGCGUCCGGUCCUCGAGCGUAUGGGGCUUUGUCACCCGCUCUGUAGGCCCGGCCGGCGCUUGCCGAUCAACCCAAAUUUUUAUCCAGGUUGACCUCGGAUCAGGUAGGGAUACCCGCUGAACUUAAGCAUAUCAUA
Molecule: ribosomal RNA, 571 nt
Filed under: Penicillium sp. N37
Lineage: Eukaryota; Fungi; Ascomycota; Eurotiomycetes; Eurotiales; Aspergillaceae
Also listed under: 1 other name
Description: eukaryotic LSU rRNA
Rfam family: 5.8S ribosomal RNA (bases 203-355)
Source: RNAcentral